AUCCAGCUAACGAGUACCAAAUAGGAGGAAACGCGCGUCAAACUGCAU
This 48-nucleotide non-coding RNA is filed under the name Schistosoma mansoni. The record is from RNAcentral. Lineage: Eukaryota; Metazoa; Platyhelminthes; Trematoda; Strigeidida; Schistosomatidae.